GCGGGCGUGGUGGAAUUGGUAGACACGCAAGACUUAAAAUCUUGUUUCCGUAUGGAAGUGCCGGUUCAAGUCCGGCCGCCCGCACCA
This 87-nucleotide transfer RNA is filed under the name Hellea sp. RNAcentral describes it as "tRNA-Leu". It matches the Rfam family "tRNA". From Rfam's summary of the family: Transfer RNA (tRNA) molecules are approximately 80 nucleotides in length. Lineage: Bacteria; Pseudomonadati; Pseudomonadota; Alphaproteobacteria; Maricaulales; Robiginitomaculaceae. The record is from RNAcentral.